UUAAGCGACUAAGCGUACACGGUGGAUGCCCUGGCAGUCAGAGGCGAUGAAGGACGUGCUAAUCUGCGAUAAGCGUCGGUGAGGUGAUAUGAACCGUUAUAACCGGCGAUUUCCGAAUGGGGAAACCCAGUGUGUUUCGACACACUAUCAUUAACUGAAUCCAUAGGUUAAUGAGGCGAACCGGGGGAACUGAAACAUCUAAGUACCCCGAGGAAAAGAAAUCAACCGAGAUUCCCCCAGUAGCGGCGAGCGAACGGGGAGGAGCCCAGAGCCUGAAUCAGUGUGUGUGUUAGUGGAAGCGUCUGGAAAGGCGCGCGAUACAGGGUGACAGCCCCGUACACAAAAAUGCACAUGCUGUGAGCUCGAUGAGUAGGGCGGGACACGUGGUAUCCUGUCUGAAUAUGGGGGGACCAUCCUCCAAGGCUAAAUACUCCUGACUGACCGAUAGUGAACCAGUACCGUGAGGGAAAGGCGAAAAGAACCCCGGCGAGGGGAGUGAAAAAGAACCUGAAACCGUGUACGUACAAGCAGUGGGAGCCUCUUAAUGGGGUGACUGCGUACCUUUUGUAUAAUGGGUCAGCGACUUAUAUUCUGUAGCAAGGUUAACCGAAUAGGGGAGCCGAAGGGAAACCGAGUCUUAACUGGGCGUUAAGUUGCAGGGUAUAGACCCGAAACCCGGUGAUCUAGCCAUGGGCAGGUUGAAGGUUGGGUAACACUAACUGGAGGACCGAACCGACUAAUGUUGAAAAAUUAGCGGAUGACUUGUGGCUGGGGGUGAAAGGCCAAUCAAACCGGGAGAUAGCUGGUUCUCCCCGAAAGCUAUUUAGGUAGCGCCUCGUGAAUUCAUCUCCGGGGGUAGAGCACUGUUUCGGCAAGGGGGUCAUCCCGACUUACCAACCCGAUGCAAACUGCGAAUACCGGAGAAUGUUAUCACGGGAGACACACGGCGGGUGCUAACGUCCGUCGUGAAGAGGGAAACAACCCAGACCGCCAGCUAAGGUCCCAAAGUCAUGGUUAAGUGGGAAACGAUGUGGGAAGGCCCAGACAGCCAGGAUGUUGGCUUAGAAGCAGCCAUCAUUUAAAGAAAGCGUAAUAGCUCACUGGUCGAGUCGGCCUGCGCGGAAGAUGUAACGGGGCUAAACCAUGCACCGAAGCUGCGGCAGCGACGCUUAUGCGUUGUUGGGUAGGGGAGCGUUCUGUAAGCCUGUGAAGGUGUGCUGUGAGGCAUGCUGGAGGUAUCAGAAGUGCGAAUGCUGACAUAAGUAACGAUAAAGCGGGUGAAAAGCCCGCUCGCCGGAAGACCAAGGGUUCCUGUCCAACGUUAAUCGGGGCAGGGUGAGUCGACCCCUAAGGCGAGGCCGAAAGGCGUAGUCGAUGGGAAACAGGUUAAUAUUCCUGUACUUGGUGUUACUGCGAAGGGGGGACGGAGAAGGCUAUGUUGGCCGGGCGACGGUUGUCCCGGUUUAAGCGUGUAGGCUGGUUUUCCAGGCAAAUCCGGAAAACCAAGGCUGAGGCGUGAUGACGAGGCACUACGGUGCUGAAGCGACAAAUGCCCUGCUUCCAGGAAAAGCCUCUAAGCAUCAGGUAACAUCAAAUCGUACCCCAAACCGACACAGGUGGUCAGGUAGAGAAUACCAAGGCGCUUGAGAGAACUCGGGUGAAGGAACUAGGCAAAAUGGUGCCGUAACUUCGGGAGAAGGCACGCUGAUAUGUAGGUGAAGCGACUUGCUCGUGGAGCUGAAAUCAGUCGAAGAUACCAGCUGGCUGCAACUGUUUAUUAAAAACACAGCACUGUGCAAACACGAAAGUGGACGUAUACGGUGUGACGCCUGCCCGGUGCCGGAAGGUUAAUUGAUGGGGUUAGCGGUAACGCGAAGCUCUUGAUCGAAGCCCCGGUAAACGGCGGCCGUAACUAUAACGGUCCUAAGGUAGCGAAAUUCCUUGUCGGGUAAGUUCCGACCUGCACGAAUGGCGUAAUGAUGGCCAGGCUGUCUCCACCCGAGACUCAGUGAAAUUGAACUCGCUGUGAAGAUGCAGUGUACCCGCGGCAAGACGGAAAGACCCCGUGAACCUUUACUAUAGCUUGACACUGAACAUUGAGCCUUGAUGUGUAGGAUAGGUGGGAGGCUUUGAAGUGUGGACGCCAGUCUGCAUGGAGCCGACCUUGAAAUACCACCCUUUAAUGUUUGAUGUUCUAACGUUGGCCCGUAAUCCGGGUUGCGGACAGUGUCUGGUGGGUAGUUUGACUGGGGCGGUCUCCUCCUAAAGAGUAACGGAGGAGCACGAAGGUUGGCUAAUCCUGGUCGGACAUCAGGAGGUUAGUGCAAUGGCAUAAGCCAGCUUGACUGCGAGCGUGACGGCGCGAGCAGGUGCGAAAGCAGGUCAUAGUGAUCCGGUGGUUCUGAAUGGAAGGGCCAUCGCUCAACGGAUAAAAGGUACUCCGGGGAUAACAGGCUGAUACCGCCCAAGAGUUCAUAUCGACGGCGGUGUUUGGCACCUCGAUGUCGGCUCAUCACAUCCUGGGGCUGAAGUAGGUCCCAAGGGUAUGGCUGUUCGCCAUUUAAAGUGGUACGCGAGCUGGGUUUAGAACGUCGUGAGACAGUUCGGUCCCUAUCUGCCGUGGGCGCUGGAGAACUGAGGGGGGCUGCUCCUAGUACGAGAGGACCGGAGUGGACGCAUCACUGGUGUUCGGGUUGUCAUGCCAAUGGCACUGCCCGGUAGCUAAAUGCGGAAGAGAUAAGUGCUGAAAGCAUCUAAGCACGAAACUUGCCCCGAGAUGAGUUCUCCCUGACUCCUUGAGAGUCCUGAAGGAACGUUGAAGACGACGACGUUGAUAGGCCGGGUGUGUAAGCGCAGCGAUGCGUUGAGCUAACCGGUACUAAUGAACCGUGAGGCUUAACCUU
Molecule: ribosomal RNA, 2903 nt
Filed under: Escherichia coli
Lineage: Bacteria; Pseudomonadati; Pseudomonadota; Gammaproteobacteria; Enterobacterales; Enterobacteriaceae
Description: bacterial LSU rRNA
Rfam family: Bacterial large subunit ribosomal RNA
Source: RNAcentral